RNAcentral lists this ribosomal RNA (492 nucleotides) under uncultured bacterium. RNAcentral's name for it is "partial 16S ribosomal RNA". It matches the Rfam family "Bacterial small subunit ribosomal RNA", at positions 29 to 507 of the family's 1533-position model. The record is from RNAcentral.
AGUGAACGCUGGCGGUAGGCCUAACACAUGCAAGUCGAACGGCAGCACAGUAAGAGCUUGCUCUUACGGGUGGCGAGUGGCGGACGGGUGAGGAAUACAUCGGAAUCUACUUUUUCGUGGGGGAUAACGUAGGGAAACUUACGCUAAUACCGCAUACGACCUACGGGUGAAAGCAGGGGAUCUUCGGACCUUGCGCGAUUGAAUGAGCCGAUGUCGGAUUAGCUAGUUGGCGGGGUAAAGGCCCACCAAGGCGGCGAUCCGUAGCUGGUCUGAGAGGAUGAUCAGCCACACUGGAACUGAGACACGGUCCAGACUCCUAAGGGAGGCAGCAGUGGGGAAUAUUGGACAAUGGGGGCAAGCCUGAUCCAGCCAUACCGCGUGGGUGAAGAAGGCCUUCGGGUUGUAAAGCCAUUUUGUUGGGAAAGAAAAGCAGCAGGUUAAUACCCCGCUGUUCUGACGGUACCCAAAGAAUAAGCACCGGCUAACUUCGUG